RNAcentral lists this ribosomal RNA (274 nucleotides) under uncultured bacterium. RNAcentral describes it as "partial 16S ribosomal RNA". It matches the Rfam family "Bacterial small subunit ribosomal RNA", at positions 523 to 796 of the family's 1533-position model. The record is from RNAcentral.
AUACAGAGGUUGCAAGCGUUAAUCGGAUUUACUGGGCGUAAAGCGCGCGUAGGCGGCUAAUUAAGUCAAAUGUGAAAUCCCCGAGCUUAACUUGGGAAUUGCAUUCGAUACUGGUUAGCUAGAGUGUGGGAGAGGAUGGUAGAAUUCCAGGUGUAGCGGUGAAAUGCGUAGAGAUCUGGAGGAAUACCGAUGGCGAAGGCAGCCAUCUGGCCUAACACUGACGCUGAGGUGCGAAAGCAUGGGGAGCAAACAGGAUUAGAUACCCCAGUAGUCC